CCUACGGGUGGCAGCAGUGAGGAAUAUUGGUCAAUGGGCGGAAGCCUGAACCAGCCAAGUAGCGUGCAGGAUGACGGCCCUACGGGUUGUAAACCGCUUUUGCACGGGGAUAACACCCUCCACUUAUACAGGUCUGCAGGUACCGUGCGAAUAAGGGCCGGCUAAUUCCGUGCCAGCAGCCGCGGUAAUACGGAAGGCCCGAGCGUUAUCCGGAUUCAUUGGGCUUAAGGGGAGCGUAGGCGGGCGUUAAAGUCAGCUGUAAAAUCUUGCGGCUCAACCGCGCAUCGCAGUUGAAACUGGACGCCUUGAGUUCACAACAGGCAGGCGGAAUUCGUGGUGUAGCGGUGAAAUGCAUAGAUAUCACGAGGAACCCCGAUUGCGAAGGCAGCCUGCUGGGGUGCGACUGACGCUGAGGCUCGAAGGUGCGGGUAUCAAACAGGAUUAGAUACCCGGGUAGUC
This 459-nucleotide ribosomal RNA is filed under the name uncultured bacterium. RNAcentral's name for it is "partial 16S ribosomal RNA". It matches the Rfam family "Bacterial small subunit ribosomal RNA", at positions 338 to 795 of the family's 1533-position model. The record is from RNAcentral.